RNAcentral lists this ribosomal RNA (868 nucleotides) under uncultured bacterium. RNAcentral describes it as "bacterial SSU rRNA". It matches the Rfam family "Bacterial small subunit ribosomal RNA", at positions 9 to 873 of the family's 1533-position model. The record is from RNAcentral.
GAGUUUGAUCAUGGCUCAGGAUGAACGCUGGCGGCGUGCCUAAUACAUGCAAGUCGAGCGAGAACUUAAUGAUUGAAGAUUCGUCUGAUUGAUUUAAGGGAAAGCGGCGGACGGGUGAGUAACGCGUAGGCAACCUGCCCUUAGCAGAGGGAUAGCCAUUGGAAACGAUGAUUAAAACCUCAUAAUGCUGGAGAGUCACAUGUCACUUCAGCCAAAGAUUUAUCGGCUAGGGAUGGGCCUGCGUCUGAUUAACUAGUUGGUGGGGUAACGGCUCACCAAGGUGACGAUCAGUAGCCGACCUGAGAGGGUGAUCGGCCACAUUGGAACUGAGACACGGUCCAAACUUCUACGGAAGGCAGCAGUAAGGAAUCUUGCACAAUGGGGGAAACCCUGAUGCAGCAACGCCGCGUGAACGAUGAAGGCCUUAGGGUUGUAAAGUUCUGAUCUGGGGGAAGAAGAAAGUGACGGUACCCCAGGAGAAAGCCCCGGCUAAAUACGUGCCAGCAGCCGCGGUAAUACGUAUGGGGCAAGCGUUAUCCGGAAUUAUUGGGCGUAAAGAGUGCGUAGGUGGUUACCUAAGCGCAAGGUUUAAUCUUGAGGCUCAACCUCAUUCUGCCUUGCGAACUGGGCUACUUGAGUGCUGGAGGGGAAAGCGGAAUUCCCAGUGUAGCGGUGAAAUGCGUAGAUAUUGGGAAGAACACCGGUGGCGAAGGCGGCUUUCUGGACAGUAACUGACACUGAGGCACGAAAGCGUGGGGAGCAAACAGGAUUAGAUACCCUGGUAGUCCACGCCGUAAACGAUGAGCACUAGUUGUUGGGUACGAAUGUAUUCAGUGACGCAGUUAACGCAUAAGUGCUCCGCCUGGGG